Alexandromys fortis (reed vole) is the source of this 456-nucleotide long non-coding RNA. RefSeq lists it as uncharacterized. The transcript has 4 exons. Lineage: Eukaryota; Metazoa; Chordata; Mammalia; Rodentia; Cricetidae. The record is from RefSeq and is a predicted model, not a curated record.
UUCUAAGUCUCAGAUAUUUCAGGCACUGAUCUUGGACCUGCCUUACUGCGCAACUGCGACACCUGCUGGCCAAUCAAGCAUAUUGCACCUAUAAUAAUAUCCUGAAAAUUAUCACAGAGGAAAUGUGAACUCCUGUCUUGUGGAUCUUACUGGGUCCUCAUCUUUGGAAAAGAGAACCAAUUACAAGCCUCCACAUUGAAGUCAGGUGUGAAGGUUGCAAGCCUUGUGUGCUAAUGUGAACCCACAUGUCCAACAUGGUGCUGCAAUGUCUGUGUUGUGUCUCCGUGGAAGAAGAGAGAUCUAGGUGUGGAGACAAGUGUGUUGACAUACAAUACCUACACAGGAAAUCUGUUUCACUGUAUAAAUGCUACAGUAUUCAGUAUCUAACCCAGCCAAAGUUUCCCACUAAAUAGUUCCUAAACUUUACAUUUAUAAUUUGUAAAACAAAAUAAAACC